This 254-nucleotide ribosomal RNA is filed under the name uncultured bacterium. RNAcentral describes it as "partial 16S ribosomal RNA". It matches the Rfam family "Bacterial small subunit ribosomal RNA", at positions 524 to 776 of the family's 1533-position model. The record is from RNAcentral.
UACGAAGGGGGCUAGCGUUGUUCGGAAUUACUGGGUGUAAAGCGUAUGCAGGCGGAUCGUUAAGUCGGGGGUGAAAUCCCGAGGCUCAACCUCGGAACUGCCUUCGAUACUGGCGAUCUUCGAGUCCGGGAGAGGUGAGUGGAACUCCGAGUGUAGAGGUGAAAUUCGUAGAUAUUCGGAAGAACACCAGUGGCGAAGGCGGCUCACUGGCCCGGUACUGACGCUGAGAUACGAAAGCGUGGGGAGCAAACAGG